RNAcentral lists this RNase P RNA (374 nucleotides) under Bacteroidales bacterium. Its description in RNAcentral is "RNase P RNA component class A". It matches the Rfam family "Bacterial RNase P class A". From Rfam's summary of the family: Ribonuclease P (RNase P) is a ubiquitous endoribonuclease, found in archaea, bacteria and eukarya as well as chloroplasts and mitochondria. Its best characterised activity is the generation of mature 5'-ends of tRNAs by cleaving the 5'-leader elements of precursor-tRNAs. Lineage: Bacteria; Pseudomonadati; Bacteroidota; Bacteroidia; Bacteroidales. The record is from RNAcentral.
GCAGCAGGCUGUUCUAUCGCUCUUACCGCAGUAGCGGGAGGGGAGGAAAGUCCGGACAACACAGAGCGCCAUACUUCUUAACCGGAAGAUGUCCGUGAGGGUAUAGCAACGGAGCAGAAAAUAACCGUCCGCCAGCUGGCGGAUAAGGGUGAAAAGGUGAGGUAAGAGCUCACCGGUACCGGUGGCGACAUUGGUAGCCGUCCGUCUUAUGGGUUGAAAGACCAUGUAUACCGGUGUUUUCGGGUUGCUCGCCCGAUACCGGGGGGUAGGUCGAUAUGAUCCUUGCAGCGAUGUAAGGGCAAGAUAAAUGAUAGAAGUUCGUUUCUGUUAACCGGGAUCGGAUACAAAAUCCGGCUUAUAGGCUUGCUGCUUUU